Long non-coding RNA from Corapipo altera (White-ruffed manakin), 1545 nucleotides. RefSeq lists it as uncharacterized. The transcript has 3 exons. The record is from RefSeq and is a predicted model, not a curated record. Lineage: Eukaryota; Metazoa; Chordata; Aves; Passeriformes; Pipridae.
AAUCUGCAUCUUCUGAAAGACUUUGAUGCUCCUUCUGCUACUUGGGUAUCUAGUUUAACACCACUGGCUUCUCAAAUGUCAUGCUUAAAAUAGGCUUUAACUUUCUAAUACUAAGUGAAUACUGUUGGAGAUUCAGAAAAUCUACAGUUUGAAUGGAUUUCUUGUUCAUCUUAUGGAACCUCAGGUUUAAUUCAAUGAAGCUGAUGACCUGGUGACCUUUGUGGUGUCCUGAUAGUCUCCAGAAUGCAAACCUUCAAACAGAGAUGCUGAAAAGUAAAAUUAUUCAUCAAAUCUAAAGAGCAGAUGAGAAGUCGCUCAAAGGAGAAGACAAUUGUAUGGAGCAAAAUGCAGACGAUUGGAAUGAAUACAUGAUACUGUACACUGAUCCACUUUCCUUUGUUUUCUCUUUCCAUGAUAACGAAAUCAAUCAGCCUUAUGGACAAUGGUCAGAUAUAACCAGGGAGCCCUCAUUGCAUUAAUCCAUCUUCCAGUGCCUACAAAGGGUUUAUAAGAGAGCUGGAGAGUGGCUUCCUUUAGGGCCAUGUACAAAUAGGACAAAGUAGUGGCUCCAAACUGAAAGGGAGUAGGUUUAGGUUAGAUAUUGGGAAGAAAUUCUUAACUGUGAGGGUGGUGAGGCUCUGGAACAGUUUUCCCAGAGAAGUUGUGGAUGUACCAUCCCUGGAAGUGUUCAAGGCCGGGUUGGAUGGGGUUGUGGGUAACCUGGUCCAGGGAAAGGUGUUCCUGUCCAUGGCAGGGGGCGAUUGUCAUCAUCACCAAGGAAUUAUUCUUAGUAUAUAAGUACAUAUUUUAGACUUAUAUAUGUAUGUAUAAAAUUACUAUUAAAUUUAAUUUUUUAUUGUUUAAGUAUUGACUAGAGGGUUGUGAUUUAGAUAGUUUGCAAUUUCUGAAUAAAAGUAAAUAACUUAAUUAAAUAUUACAUUACAGCCUCUGGGAAAUAUUACCUACAUUUUAAGUAGAAAGGGAAAAAAGUUUGAAUAUAUUAAUGAGGAGUUGCAAAGAUUUAUGCCUGCACUAAAAGAAACAGUAAACAUAGCCGUGAUCAGAUAAUUUUUUUUAUCUAGGAGCAUAAAGAAUAGGACACAUGCAUCCAUUAUAUCUAAACUUUUAAUAAAUCUUGGUAUAUUUCACCUUUACUCAUGCAAAUGCCUUGUCAUCUUCUUGCUGUAUUGUAAACUUCAAGGUAGGUUUUUUAUCUAGUUGUCACCUGUUGAACACCAACACAAACCAUUUAUUUGGACUACAUUACAAAAACAUACUGCAGUUUAGCUCACAGAUAAGUUACAAUUAUGUUAAACAAAUAAUUUUUUCUUCCCUGGUUGCUUUUGCAUCAGUGAUUCAACAGCAAUUUGCUCUUUUACUAGCUAAACAAAAUUUUUGUCACAGGUGCAAUCUUUCCUCUGUUAUUUAUGCUCAUAAAUAAUAAGUUCCUGCACUGUAAUAUAUAUAAUAUUUUACCAAUUUGUGGGCUGAUUCUUCUUAAAGUAAGUUUUGGAAUUAAGUUCCUAGCAUUAUCUAUUAUGAAUA